AUUGAACGCUGGCGGCAUGCUUUACACAUGCAAGUCGAACGGCAGCGCGGGCUUCGGCCUGGCGGCGAGUGGCGAACGGGUGAGUAAUGCAUCGGAACGUGCCCAGUAGUGGGGGAUAGCCCGGCGAAAGCCGGAUUAAUACCGCAUACGACCUGAGGGUGAAAGCGGGGGACCGAAAGGCCUCGCGCUAUUGGAGCGGCCGAGGUCGGAUUAGCUAGUUGGUGGGGUAAAGGCCUACCAAGGCGACGAUCCGUAGCUGGUCUGAGAGGACGACCAGCCACACUGGGACUGAGACACGGCCCAGACUCCUACGGGAGGCAGCAGUGGGGAAUUUUGGACAAUGGGGGCAACCCUGAUCCAGCCAUGCCGCGUGCGGGAAGAAGGCCUUCGGGUUGUAAACCGCUUUUGUUCGGGAAGAAAUCCUCUGGGCUAAUACCCCGGGGGGAUGACGGUACCGGAAGAAUAAGCACCGGCUAACUACGUG
RNAcentral lists this ribosomal RNA (484 nucleotides) under uncultured bacterium. Its description in RNAcentral is "partial 16S ribosomal RNA". It matches the Rfam family "Bacterial small subunit ribosomal RNA", at positions 28 to 507 of the family's 1533-position model. The record is from RNAcentral.